RNAcentral lists this ribosomal RNA (1752 nucleotides) under Bacteroides xylanisolvens. RNAcentral's name for it is "partial 23S ribosomal RNA". It matches the Rfam family "Bacterial large subunit ribosomal RNA", at positions 1 to 1795 of the family's 2925-position model. The record is from RNAcentral. Lineage: Bacteria; Pseudomonadati; Bacteroidota; Bacteroidia; Bacteroidales; Bacteroidaceae.
GGGUUGUGAGGUUAAGCGACUAAGCGUACACGGUGGAUGCCCUGGCAGUCAGAGGCGAUGAAGGACGUGCUAAUCUGCGAUAAGCGUCGGUAAGGUGAUAUGAACCGUUAUAACCGGCGAUUUCCGAAUGGGGAAACCCAGUGUGAUUCGUCACACUAUCAUUAACUGAAUCCAUAGGUUAAUGAGGCGAACCGGGGGAACUGAAACAUCUAAGUACCCCGAGGAAAAGAAAUCAACCGAGAUUCCCCCAGUAGCGGCGAGCGAACGGGGAGCAGCCCAGAGCCUGAAUCAGUGUGUGUGUUAGUGGAAGCGUCUGGAAAGGCGCGCGAUACAGGGUGACAGCCCCGUACACAAAAAUGCACAUGCUGUGAGCUCGAUGAGUAGGGCGGGACACGUGGUAUCCUGUCUGAAUAUGGGGGGACCAUCCUCCAAGGCUAAAUACUCCUGACUGACCGAUAGUGAACCAGUACCGUGAGGGAAAGGCGAAAAGAACCCCGGCGAGGGGAGUGAAAAAGAACCUGAAACCGUGUACGUACAAGCAGUGGGAGCCUCUUUAUGGGGUGACUGCGUACCUUUUGUAUAAUGGGUCAGCGACUUAUAUUCUGUAGCAAGGUUAACCGAAUAGGGGAGCCGAAGGGAAACCGAGUCUUAACUGGGCGUUAAGUUGCAGGGUAUAGACCCGAAACCCGGUGAUCUAGCCAUGGGCAGGUUGAAGGUUGGGUAACACUAACUGGAGGACCGAACCGACUAAUGUUGAAAAAUUAGCGGAUGACUUGUGGCUGGGGGUGAAAGGCCAAUCAAACCGGGAGAUAGCUGGUUCUCCCCGAAAGCUAUUUAGGUAGCGCCUCGUGAAUUCAUCUCCGGGGGUAGAGCACUGUUUCGGCAAGGGGGUCAUCCCGACUUACCAACCCGAUGCAAACUGCGAAUACCGGAGAAUGUUAUCACGGGAGACACACGGCGGGUGCUAACGUCCGUCGUGAAGAGGGAAACAACCCAGACCGCCAGCUAAGGUCCCAAAGUCAUGGUUAAGUGGGAAACGAUGUGGGAAGGCCCAGACAGCCAGGAUGUUGGCUUAGAAGCAGCCAUCAUUUAAAGAAAGCGUAAUAGCUCACUGGUCGAGUCGGCCUGCGCGGAAGAUGUAACGGGGCUAAACCAUGCACCGAAGCUGCGGCAGCGACGCUUAUGCGUUGUUGGGUAGGGGAGCGUUCUGUAAGCCUGCGAAGGUGUACUGUGAGGUAUGCUGGAGGUAUCAGAAGUGCGAAUGCUGACAUAAGUAACGAUAAAGCGGGUGAAAAGCCCGCUCGCCGGAAGACCAAGGGUUCCUGUCCAACGUUAAUCGGGGCAGGGUGAGUCGACCCCUAAGGCGAGGCCGAAAGGCGUAGUCGAUGGGAAACAGGUUAAUAUUCCUGUACUUGGUGUUACUGCGAAGGGGGGACGGAGAAGGCUAUGUUGGCCGGGCGACGGUUGUCCCGGUUUAAGCGUGUAGGCUGGUUUUCCAGGCAAAUCCGGAAAAUCAAGGCUGAGGCGUGAUGACGAGGCACUACGGUGCUGAAGCAACAAAUGCCCUGCUUCCAGGAAAAGCCUCUAAGCAUCAGGUAACAUCAAAUCGUACCCCAAACCGACACAGGUGGUCAGGUAGAGAAUACCAAGGCGCUUGAGAGAACUCGGGUGAAGGAACUAGGCAAAAUGGUGCCGUAACUUCGGGAGAAGGCACGCUGAUAUGUAGGUGAAGUCACUCGCGGAUGGGGCUGA